Molecule: long non-coding RNA, 415 nt
Organism: Homo sapiens (human)
Lineage: Eukaryota; Metazoa; Chordata; Mammalia; Primates; Hominidae
Product: long intergenic non-protein coding RNA 2672
Source: Ensembl
AGGUGUUUUUAUUACACAAGACAAAAACGGAAAAACAGUAACAAAUGAUUGGUUAAGCCUUUCAAAACAAAGAAGUUGAAGGUCACUGGAAUAGGUUCAUUACACUCAAGCAAAGGCCUGGGGAAAUGAUAGAAUUACCUCUGUUGACCCAGAAGAGCACCAAAAGCACCAGUGUGCAGAAAUCAGAGACCUCAAGCUAAAAGUCAUAAAAGGACAAGAACCUGGAAGUCGUCGAACUGUGGAAGCAAAAGACCUGUAAUGCUCCUGCUUGCCGAGCUGUGAGCAGUGGUAGUAAAAGAGCAGUAACAUUCUCUCCUGCUUGCCAAACAGGAGAGAAGCCACUGGCACCACUCCCUCCCACUCACUGAACUAUAGAAGAGAAAAAAUUGAAACACCAAAAUUGGGGAAAUGCGAC